GGGCGUCUGUGAUGAUCACCGUUACCUACAUUGUUUGACCCUCAUGAGAACAGCUCUGGCUGAGACGCCA
Small nucleolar RNA from Manis pentadactyla (Chinese pangolin), 70 nucleotides. RefSeq annotates it as small nucleolar RNA SNORD34. The transcript has a single exon. The record is from RefSeq and is a predicted model, not a curated record. Lineage: Eukaryota; Metazoa; Chordata; Mammalia; Pholidota; Manidae.